RNAcentral lists this unclassified non-coding RNA (951 nucleotides) under Hevea brasiliensis (rubber tree). Lineage: Eukaryota; Viridiplantae; Streptophyta; Magnoliopsida; Malpighiales; Euphorbiaceae. The record is from RNAcentral.
AGAAGGUUUUGAAUGGCACUCGAAAUGGCUUUCAUAAUUUUGAAGAACGGAGGAUUCCAGUUCCCUUCGAAGGUAGAGAAAAUGGUGAUGAUUGUUCAAGUGGAUCUUCUGUGACCGUUUCCAAUUCAAUGGAGGAAGGAGGCAGGACUUGCUCGCAAGAACCUUUUAUACAAAGCAUCAAUGCCUUUGCUUCUCCAAUCCCAUGUCUCCCUAGUGUUCCUUGGUCCUAUCCUUGGAAUUCUGCAUUGCCCCCUCCAGCUUUUUGUCCACCAGGAUUUCCUAUGUCAUUUUAUCCUCCCUUUUGGAAUUGUGCAAUUGCUGGUGGUUGGAACAUCCCUUUGUUGUCUUCGCCUUCAUCUUCUUCAUCAAAUCAAAAGGCUUCAUGUGGUCCUAAUUCUUCUUUGGGAAAGCACUCGAGAGAUGGGGACACGCUUAAAUCAGAUGAUUUGGAGAAAGAAGAGCAGCCAUCAAAGCAUAAAAAUGGAUGUGUUUUAGUUCCCAAAAUUCUAAGGAUUGAUGACCCAACUGAAGCUGCAAAAAGUUCUAUAUGGGCAACUCUUGGAAUCAAGAAUGAGUCCUUCCCUGGGGGAGGACCGUUCAAGGCCUUCCAACCAAAGACUGAUGACAAGAAACUUGUUUCUGAAGCCUCUCCGGUAUUGCUGGCAAACCCUGCUGCUUUGUCUCGAUCCAUCAACUUUCAUGAAAACUCUUGAAGUGGUGGCAUGUAGACCAUAAGAGCCAGGUUGAAUUCAACUCACUGGUAUGCGAUUGCUUCGCUUACUGUGAUCCUGAAUGGAUCAUUUUAAUCAUCGUUUCAUUGCAAACAAAGUUAGCAAGCUAACUGACUGAGACAAAAGAGUAGAGGGAAAAAUUUUGAGGAACGUCUAGUGUGACUAAUUUUCUUCUUGUGACAUACGAGCAGAUGCCUCUUGUUUUACUUGGGUUUGCGGG